This is a long non-coding RNA of Thrips palmi, 863 nucleotides long. RefSeq lists it as uncharacterized. Lineage: Eukaryota; Metazoa; Arthropoda; Insecta; Thysanoptera; Thripidae. The record is from RefSeq and is a predicted model, not a curated record. The transcript is spliced from 2 exons.
CUGCCGCGGAAGCCGCGCCCCAUCCCCCGUCUGCCCCCCAAGCACCGGCCGAACCUGGCCACGGUGGAGAAGUGCCUGUUCGACGCCCUGGCGGACGGCCUCGGAUUGGACGCGGGUCCGGCGUCUCGGUCGGCAUGCGACUCCCAGACGAGCCUCGCGUUUGCGCCCCAGUUGCGCUACAGCAGCCAAUGGGCGGGGGACGCGUGCCGCAUCCUGGCCGCCCACAUCACGAGGAGCCUCAACGGGUUGGACUUGAAAAGAUAUAAAAGUGCCUGCGUCGUUCGAAUAAUUGAGAAGUGUCAUCAAGGGUUGUGCAGCCACUUCGCCGCGCUUUGGGACGAGAACUGUGACUGUUUUUGCUGCGUUCCUUAUGAGACUGACAGUUUUAUAGCAUAUGCUACAAUUGUUCUGGUUCAUUGGGACUAAUGAGCUCUUUAGUUGUUGAAUGAGGGUAUAUUGUACAUAGUUCAUUGUGUAAGUGACAAGAAUAAAGGACUGAAACAACAUUCGCAUUUAAGGUUUUUUUUGGGAAUUUAUUUCUUUUUUGUUUGAGAAAGUGCUUACAGGGUUACAUUACAACCACAUGGACAUUCAUGCCACAUUGAAAUAAAACUUCUUAAAAAUGAAAUUGUUGAUCCGAGUAAGUAACACCCUGGUAAAAAAAGCCAAUAUUCUGAUGAAAAUUGCACAAUUUGAAAAGACAUUUAAAUGCUUGUUCUCUCCCCUUCAUAAUGAAUUCUUUGUUAAAAUCUAUUUAUAAUAGAAAAAUUAUAUGAGAACUUUCAAUGCUAUGACAACAGCACCAGCUGGCAACCAAUCAAUGAGUGUUACAAUUUCAGAUUGCCUGCCAGCCUGGCCGACAU